RNAcentral lists this ribosomal RNA (138 nucleotides) under uncultured bacterium. RNAcentral's name for it is "partial 16S ribosomal RNA". It matches the Rfam family "Bacterial small subunit ribosomal RNA", at positions 355 to 509 of the family's 1533-position model. The record is from RNAcentral.
UGGGGAAUAUUGGGCAAUGGGCGCAAGCCUGACCCAGCAACGCCGCGUGAAGGAAGAAGGCUUUCGGGUUGUAAACUUCUUUGACAGGGAAGAGUAGAAGACGGUACCUGUCGAAUAAGCCACGGCUAACUACGUGCC